UACGUAGGGUGCAAGCGUUGUCCGGAAUUAUUGGGCGUAAAGAGCUCGUAGGCGGUCUGUCGCGUCUGCUGUGAAAACUCGGGGCUUAACCCCGGGCCUGCAGUGGGUACGGGCAGACUAGAGUGCGGUAGGGGAGACUGGAAUUCCUGGUGUAGCGGUGAAAUGCGCAGAUAUCAGGAGGAACACCGGUGGCGAAGGCGGGGUCUCUGGGCCGUAACUGACGCUGAGGAGCGAAAGCAUGGGGAGCGAACAGG
Molecule: ribosomal RNA, 254 nt
Filed under: uncultured bacterium
Lineage: Bacteria
Description: partial 16S ribosomal RNA
Rfam family: Bacterial small subunit ribosomal RNA
Source: RNAcentral